Molecule: non-coding RNA, 72 nt
Organism: Phrynosoma platyrhinos (Desert horned lizard)
Lineage: Eukaryota; Metazoa; Chordata; Lepidosauria; Squamata; Phrynosomatidae
Source: the annotation of a GenBank genome assembly
GCCAGUGUGGCAUAGUGGUUUGAGUGUUGGACUACCACUCCGGAGAUCAGGUUUCAAUUCCCCACUCAGUCA